UUUAUUGGAGAGUUUGAUCCUGGCUCAGGAUGAACGCUGGCGGCGUGCCUAAUACAUGCAAGUCGAGCGAAUGGAUUGAGAGCUUGCUCUCAAGAAGUUAGCGGCGGACGGGUGAGUAACACGUGGGUAACCUGCCCAUAAGAAUAACUCCGGGAAACCGGGGCUAAUACCGGAUAACAUUUUGAACCACAUGGUUCGAAAUUGAAAGGCGGCUUCGGCUGUCACUUAUGGAUGGACC
This 238-nucleotide ribosomal RNA is filed under the name Bacillus thuringiensis serovar darmstadiensis. RNAcentral describes it as "partial 16S ribosomal RNA". It matches the Rfam family "Bacterial small subunit ribosomal RNA", at positions 1 to 231 of the family's 1533-position model. Lineage: Bacteria; Bacillati; Bacillota; Bacilli; Caryophanales; Bacillaceae. The record is from RNAcentral.